CAAGGGUGGAUGAACAGACAGCGUUUGGCGUUUUUUUACAGUCCUGGCCAGUGACUCUUGGAUGGGCCUCCUCCAAAAAGGACAUGCAGGCAGCAACUGUGUGCUGAACACGAGAGGCACUGCUACGACCGCUGGCGCAGCGAGCAGCUCAAGCUGCGUGAACAGCAUAUCCUCGGAAAAAUGAGCAGCAGUGUGGACAGUGGGGUGGAGGUCCAUGGUGGCAGCAGUAUUGCCACUACGGUAAUAAUAAGCCGUACAGACACCGAGUAUAGCUCAUCAGGAGAGGAGGGACCCCCAAAUGUUCCUCCUCCUCCUCUUCCCCCAGUAGCUCCACCUUCACCUCCACCACCACCUCCCCAGUACAUCGUCCUGCUCCUCGGGAAGAGCAUGAAGAAGAUGUAAUGUAUAGAUUUAUUGUGCCCUCUAUAAUUAUGUAGUGUAUUUGUGAACGUUUUGUUCAUUUUUUCCCUCUCUGCAGUAUUUUGCAGAUGAUGAGGAGGAGGAGGAGGAGCAGCAAGAAUAGGAGUG
RNAcentral lists this long non-coding RNA (528 nucleotides) under Sinocyclocheilus grahami. RNAcentral's name for it is "lncRNA (ENSSGRG00000009174.1)". The record is from RNAcentral. Lineage: Eukaryota; Metazoa; Chordata; Actinopteri; Cypriniformes; Cyprinidae.